GGGUCGGUAACAAACGUUGGCCUUGUAGCGGAUUCUUAAUCCGCCAUCACGUGGGUUCGAUUCCCACCCGACCCA
This 75-nucleotide transfer RNA is filed under the name Deltaproteobacteria bacterium. RNAcentral's name for it is "tRNA-Lys". It matches the Rfam family "tRNA". Rfam says of the family: Transfer RNA (tRNA) molecules are approximately 80 nucleotides in length. Their secondary structure includes four short double-helical elements and three loops (D, anti-codon, and T loops). Further hydrogen bonds mediate the characteristic L-shaped molecular structure. tRNAs have two regions of fundamental functional importance: the anti-codon, which is responsible for specific mRNA codon recognition, and the 3' end, to which the tRNAs corresponding amino acid is attached (by aminoacyl-tRNA synthetases). tRNAs cope with the degeneracy of the genetic code in two manners: having more than one tRNA (with a specific anti-codon) for a particular amino acid; and 'wobble' base-pairing, i.e. permitting non-standard base-pairing at the 3rd anti-codon position. RNAcentral also lists the same sequence under 1 other name. Lineage: Bacteria; Pseudomonadati; Myxococcota; Myxococcia. The record is from RNAcentral.